This 1078-nucleotide long non-coding RNA is filed under the name Olea europaea (common olive). RNAcentral's name for it is "long non-coding RNA (OEUR_LNC013206)". The record is from RNAcentral. Lineage: Eukaryota; Viridiplantae; Streptophyta; Magnoliopsida; Lamiales; Oleaceae.
UUAAAUAAUCAAACAUUAAUCAUAUAUUUUAUUAAUUUCAUAAUUUUUCAAUCACACAUUUUUUAAUAACUUUGAUCGACCAAGAAAAUUAAUUUUUAAUUCACCUCUUUAAAGUUUUAAUUAACGCGUUCAGUCUUUACAAAAAAAAGUAUCUAAAAGAAAAAAUUCAUCAAAUUCAAAGCCUUGUAUCCGAAGGAAAAUCCAACGGACAAAUACAGUGUCCGUACCGUUGGUGAAGCAACACGACAUGCACAGAUCCGUUACACACAUAUACAAACAAGUAUAUAUUCGUACAUAUCUUCGCUCUUCAUUGGCAACAAUUCACACCUGGGUUUUCCAAAUUUUUCGUAUUAUAUACGCACAUUUGUGGGUUCUUGAAUUCAAUGAAUAAUUAUUGUAGCAUACGAGAUUCAAGUACCUUGGGGUUGUAGCAGGAAAUUGUUGUCCAAGCUCGGAAAUUUUUGGCUGGUGUUAGGGUCGGGUCAUGUAUACAGCUAAUUUAAUCGGGUUCGUGUUGGCUGUGGCCUCGAGUGCUUUCAUUGGAUCCAGUUUUAUCAUCAAGAAGAAGGGUCUCCAGAGAGCCAGCGCCUCUGGCUGUCGUGCCAGUAAGUAUUAAUUUUUCUGUUUUUUCUAAUUAAAGAAAAAAAUUGCUGAUUUUAUUGUUUUGUUUUGUGAAAAAAAGGUGAAGAUUUGAUGUUGUACCGCCUGCUUCAUUUUUUGUACCUGUUUCUGGAUAAUAUUAUUUUUUCAUGUCAAUUCAUCUUGUCUCUUUGUGAGUUGUAGAAAUUAUUUUUCUCAUUUUCUCAAUAUGAUGAAUUUUUUGAUGCCGUACCAUCUUUUUAAUUUUUUCUACCUGGUUCUGGAACUAUAAUUUCCCAUUAAAUUUUUCUGCAAAGAAAUAAAGAAAUGAGAUCAGUAGUAUACACUGUUUCAUUGUGAAAAAUUGUACAAUUGGGUUUAAUAUUGCUCCAUGACUAAUUGAAUUUUUAUUGAAUUUACGUAUUAAUAGUGGUUAUUUAGUGAUUGAGUGCAGCCAUAUUGAAGAUUUUGCAGUGAAUAACAGGUAGGAAAAAAAAAA